AAAAUAUUUAUUUUAAAUUACUUCAAUACUCUAAUGUAUAUUGAAAAGAAUUUAAUUUGUUAUUUUUUUUUUUAUAAAUAAGAUGUUAGCCUGUUAUCACUUAGAGAUGGUAUGUAGAUAUAGUAAAGACACUAGCCAUAAGAAUUAUUAUUUCGUAUGAUUUUGUGUCUCUUGUUUUAAUUUAAUUAUAAAAUUGCUUUCAAUAUUUAAAAAAAGAAUGUUGAUGAUUUCUGUAAUGUGCAAAAUCUAAAAAUUUGUUUGCUUAUUCCUGAAGUGUGCAUGUGUGAGGUCAUUACUUAUUUUAGUUUUCAGCAUAAAUUUCUCUAUAGCUUAUGAAUCAUUUAAGAGUCAUCUUGAUGACAGGUAUUUGUUGAUAGGAGAUAAGUACUACAGACUUGAUGAGUAAUUUGCUCAUGUCUUUGAGUUUGCAAUAAAAUUUACAGCCAAACUAUAGUGAUUAAUUCCUGGUGUAUUUCUUACAAUAGGUGAAUUGACCAGAGAGCCUACCAUGAAAUGUUUUUCGAAAUUUCUGAACUAAAUGAAACAAAAAUUUAAUGUUAAAAUUAUAUAAUACAUACGAGUACUGUUUAAAAAUAUUAAAAUAUCGUUCUUUUGGACUAUAACUAUAGGAUUUAUGAUGAACAAAAUAUUAAGCUCUAUUUACUGGGCCAAUUUUGGUAUGAAUGAAAAUACGAAAUCGAGUCUGAGAAUUCAGAACUUCAUUUCAAGGUAGACCCCACUCCUUCAUCAUACUCCAUCAUCUCAAAUAUAUUGCAAAAAGUCUUCCUGCAAUAUAUUAUAUGGCGUUAAUUUACUGGGUACAGAGGGGGUAUCAUGGGCGAAACAGUAUACUCUGUUAUGUCCAUGGUACUGCUCAUGUCUAUAGGCGACGGUUACCGCUUUCCAUCAGUUGGGCCGUCAGUUUGUUUGCCAUUCUAAAUUGUAUAUAAAAAAAAUCUUAUUUGUUUGAUCGGCUCAGGCUAAAUCGGCUCAGGCUAAAUCGGCUCAGGCUCAGGAGUUAUUUUAGGCAGCCUAUACUUAUUAGUGGACAGUUAACGGUUUAAAUGAUUGAAAAGCGAUAUCUUGUUAUAUAUUCAAUUCCACAAUACUUUUAUUCUCGUAGUCUGUAUCGAUAAUUGGUCGAGUAUUUAUUUUAAUUUUAACAAAGAUCCAUUAUAAUCGUCUGCCCAUGAUGAAGGUACCUAGUGACUGGCCUUGCGUCGUUGAUAACCAUAUAAGGGCGCAGACGCCGGCCGUACGCAUUGCUCUCUUGUUCAUUCGGCGGAAUCCCACAAAAAGUGUAAUUGUAUACUACUGUGGGUCAAAUAUUUGCCCUUCGUGUGAUAAUUUUAAAGUACCAGGAAGUCUGCUUAUUGUACUAUUCCCUUAUUUAUCGGCUUUUGAUAUUCCAUAUCAAAAUAGGUAUGAGACAUUACUUAUAGUUAUUUUUUUCUCAAAUUUUGUACGUUUGUUGCAAAUUUAAUUAAAUCUCACUUUUUAUUACUUCUCUUAUUUUAAAAGCAGACUAAGAAAAAUACGUCAUCGUUAAAAAAUAUAAUAAUUAUUUAAACUUUCUCGUAGCAAUCUCAGGGACAGAUAUUUUACUAAAUUGGAUAUUAGAAAUUCAAAUACAAAAAAAAAAUACUACGUAUUUAAUGGACAGUCGUAUGUUAAAUAAUUGUAGUCGCCACUACAGCGCCAUAUGUGAAACGGCCCUAACCAAUUGGCCUUUCUAAUACCUGUUUUCGGUCAGAUAUUUCCGACUUGUAUUUUUAGCGACUAGUUUGAUGUUUAAAUAAUUAACAUGUUUAUUAGAAGCUCUUGUUGCCAAUGUCAAUGGGCUUUGCAUAGUGGGUUGGGACCUACUACAGGAAAUUCUCAAUACGAGUAUAGCUAACGUGUGCUGCGCAUGGUAAUAAAUUGACAAGGCUGUACGACAUCGGAUCAUGGGAGUCAUGCAGAAUGUUUAUUUUUAAACAACUUCCAUCAGGAGGAGGUUCCUAAUUUAUUACGUCGUUAAUUCUGAACCGAUUUUGAUACUUCUUUUCACAAUCGAAAGGGCUUACUUCCCUAUUGGUCUUAUAUAAAUUUUACGAUGAUUAAAGCACUUAUUUUUCUAUGUGGUGUGCUUGUUGCUAAGCAAGAUCGUGUACCUACAACACGCGAUUCUGCAUUCUAAAUUUAAAUAUUUUAAAUUUAGUAUACCAUACUUAUGAAACGUCACGUUAUUAAUUGGUACUGGCCAAUAUGAACAUGGUUACGACUGUAGUCGUUUUUAGACGUAAUAAAAUUUCCUAGUCAUUAAUGUAUUAAAUCGUCUGUUACUGUUUAAAAAUAAUUAGAUGUUAUUAUUUAAGCUAUAAAUUUUAUUAUCUUCAUUGUAAUAUUUUUGAAUAUUGUUCUUUGUUGCGAUAAAGCAAUUGUUCUUUUUCUUUGUAGAAAAGAUACGACUGUCUGUCUAUAGGUAUUAUUUUCUUAUCAGUAAGGAUGUUUAGCACGAGGUUACUCACUUUACAUAUGCGAUACAAUUAUUCAUAACUAAUUAUAAUAGUAAUUAGUGAUUUCCCGCGAUUUCAGUUGCUCUAAAUUUAUAUCUCGCUCAACUGCGAAUACCAUAGACUUAACUAGAUGUCUAAAGUUCUACAUUCCAUAACGAAUUUACCUCCUGAAUUUCAAUUCCAUAUUAGUUGCUUGGCCCACCGUCGCCCACAAAGCCAAUCCAAGGUUGCGUCAUCGAUCUGAGGCCCUCAGUCGGACAGUGGACUCAUGGAAACACCAAAACAAUAUGUUCAUAGGUGUAGACAUAAGUAAAGAGACAUGCUCUUUUCGAUCAAUGAUUUUAUGUAUUUGGUAGGUUAUUUUUUUUCUCCCGUCAAGAAUAUAGGCGCCACAUUAUUAAAUAUUUUAAAAUAGUUACUGCGAGGGUCACACCAUUCAUUUCUCUUUAUAUUAAAAAAAAAAUGAAUUAAUGUAUUUUAAUAAUUCAUGUAUCUAAAAAUCUAUAUCAACUUCUAAUUUUUUUUCACCGCAUUAUUAGUUUUUGUUUUGCCAAACGUUGACUGAAAGAGAAUGCAAUAUAACAUUAAGUUCUUCCUUUUGUACCAAACAUAUUUUGUAAUAUGGUCAAUAAAGAAUAUAUAAAUGAAAAGAAAAUAAAAAAAUAGUACGUUACUCGAAGCAAAUCAAAUUUGAAUAAAUAACUAUCGUGAGUCAUACUAGUCGGACAUUUCCGAAUUUAAACGUGAGCAAAGCCGACUUAAAUAUACACGAAUCAAAUUUAUUCACAUAUAUUUUUUGUCACUCAUGCACCUUAUUCUUUUUAAAACGAUCAUUGAGUUUAGUAGCUAGAUGACAGCAUAUACAAAUGACUAUAUUGGGCAUUGAACUUGCAACUACCGGAAUGUGAUGUAAUGUGUUAAACCGCUACACUAGGUCGUCAAGGGCGUAAAAACGAACAGAGGGCCUACCACAAAAUAUUUUCCGAAAUUUCGGGGACGAACGAAACGGAAAUUUUAUGUUAAAAUUAUAUAAUACGUGCCGUUUAAAAUUAUUAAAAAUAUUAAAAUAUCGUUCCUCUGGACUAUUAGGAUAGGAUUUAUGAUAAACGAAAUGUUAAGCUCUAUUUAUUGGGUCGAUUUCGGUAUGAACAAAAAGACGAAAUUGAGCCUGAAAAUACGGAACUUCAUUUCAUGGUAGACCACUACUUCAGAUUAAUCCAAUUGGGUUAAUAAAUUUGUGCGAGAGUGUAAUUGGUUUUAUACUCAGCAUGUUAAAA
Galleria mellonella (greater wax moth) is the source of this 3775-nucleotide long non-coding RNA. RefSeq lists it as uncharacterized. The transcript is spliced from 2 exons. The record is from RefSeq and is a predicted model, not a curated record. NCBI's taxonomy places the organism in Eukaryota, Metazoa, Arthropoda, Insecta, Lepidoptera, Pyralidae.